GGGAUCUGAUUUGAUAGUGGCAAAAGGGUGAGCAACGCAUGGGCAAUCUACCUUUGAGUUUGGGAUAACAUUCCGAAAGGGAUGCUAAUACCGCAUAAGACCACGGCCCUGCAUGGGGCCGAGGUAAAAGAUAGGGACCGUAAGGCCUAUUGCUUGAAGAGGAGCCCGUGUUCUAUCAGCUAGUUGGCGGGGUAACAGCCCACCAAGGCUACGACGGAUAGCUGGUCUGAGAGGAUGGUCAGCCACACUGGGACUGAGACACUGCCCAGACUCCUACGGGAGGCUGCAGUCGAGAAUCUUUCGCAAUGGGCGCAAGCCUGACGAUGCGACGCCGCGUGAGCGAUGAAGGCCUUCGGGUCGUAAAGCUCUGUCACGUGGGACGAACGUCCUGAUGGUGAAUAGCCUGAUGGGCUGACUGUACCACGAGAGGAAGCCACGGCUAACUCCGUGCCAGCAGCCGCGGUAAUACGGAGGUGGCUAACGUUGUUCGGAUUCAUUGGGUGUAAAGGGUAUGUAGGUGGCCUUGCAAGUCGGAUGUGAAAUCCUUUGGCUCAACCAAAGAACUGCAUUCGAAACUGCUUGGCUUGAGUUUGGAAGAGGAGAGUGGAAUUCCCGGUGUAAGAGUGAAAUCUGUAGAUAUCGGGAGGAACACCAGUGGCGAAAGCGACUCUCUGGUCCAAAACUGACACUGAAAUACGAAAGCUAGGGUAGCAAACAGGAUUAGAUACCCUGGUAGUCCUAGCCGUAAACGAUGAGCACUUGGUGUGGGGUCCGUUAGGGCUCUGUGCCGAAGUUAACACAUUAAGUGUUCCACCUGGGGACUACGGCCGCAAGGUUGAAACUCAAAGAAAUUGACGGGGACCCGCACAAGCGGUGGAGCAUGUGGUUUAAUACGACGCUACGCGUGGAACCUUACCAGGGCUUGAAAGGUGCAUGAAACCCCGAUGAAAAUUGGGGCCUCCUUUCCGGGACAUGCAUACAAGGUGUUGCAUGGCUGUCGUCAGCUCGUGUCGUGAGAUGUUGGGUUAAGUCCCGCAACGAGCGCAACCAUCAUCCUUUAGUUGCCAUCGGUUCCG
This 1076-nucleotide ribosomal RNA is filed under the name uncultured bacterium. Its description in RNAcentral is "bacterial SSU rRNA". It matches the Rfam family "Bacterial small subunit ribosomal RNA", at positions 78 to 1129 of the family's 1533-position model. The record is from RNAcentral.